This 244-nucleotide ribosomal RNA is filed under the name uncultured bacterium. Its description in RNAcentral is "partial 16S ribosomal RNA". It matches the Rfam family "Bacterial small subunit ribosomal RNA", at positions 90 to 334 of the family's 1533-position model. The record is from RNAcentral.
CGUGAGCGGCGGACGGGUGAGUAACGCGUGGGUAACCUGCCUCAUACAGGGGGAUAACAGUUGGAAACGGCUGCUAAUACCGCAUAAGCGCACAGUACCGCAUGGUACCGUGUGAAAAACUCCGGUGGUAUGAGAUGGACCCGCGUCUGAUUAGGUAGUUGGUGGGGUAACGGCCUACCAAGCCGACGAUCAGUAGCCGACCUGAGAGGGUGACCGGCCACAUUGGGACUGAGACACGGCCCAA